Syngnathoides biaculeatus (alligator pipefish) is the source of this 2331-nucleotide long non-coding RNA. RefSeq lists it as uncharacterized. NCBI's taxonomy places the organism in Eukaryota, Metazoa, Chordata, Actinopteri, Syngnathiformes, Syngnathidae. The record is from RefSeq and is a predicted model, not a curated record. The transcript has 3 exons.
GCCCACCUAAACACAAAAUAUCCACUAGCAGUUGACAGAGCCACGACUACAUUUGAUGAACUGAAUUACUCCCAGAUUGAGGCCAAUGCACAUGAGAGUCCGUUGAUGAUGACUUUUAGCCUGUUAACUCUGGCAGCUCUCUCGUGUCCUUCCUGACGUUGACAAGAAAUCGAGUAUACCGUAAUUUCCCGCCUAUAAGGCGCGACUUUUUUCACAAGCUUUCAACCCUGCGGUUUAUGCGGUGAUGCGGCUAAUUUGUGCAUUUUUUUCUAGCGGAAAAGGGCUGGUGGCUUAAAAAGGCGGAACCUGGCCUGGUGGGUGACGUGGAACUCGGUGAAAGAGACCGCUGACUUGGAUGCCGGUUGCAAGCGCAGACAUUGGUGGAGGGAAUAGGUGGCGCAGAACCUCAGAAGAAUAUGGAAGUAAAUAUGUGCCACCAGGAUUUGAAUUUGAAAUGUAAAGUGAUCACAUUUUCAAUCGUUGCUCCAAUUCCCUUUCUGAAAUUCACCGUCUGUGCCACCAGGCAGGGUUACUUCAGGUCAGAACUGAACAGCCAGCCAAUCGCAGUCACGCUUUCUUAGUAUAUGAUGUCACAAAGUAACUCGGGAUUAGAAAGACUACGUUUAGAAAAAAGCGUGACUGCGAUUGGCUGGCUGUUCGGUUCUGACCUGAAGCAACCCUGCCUGGUGGCACAGACGGUGAAUUUCAGACAGGGAAUUGGAGCAACUAUUGAAAAUGUGAUCACUUUACAUUUCAAAUUCAAAUCCCGUUUUCUGUGGCAUUUCAAACUCAAAUCCCGGUGGCACAUAUUUACUCCCAUAGAAGAAGGAAGCAAAUUCUAAAAGCGUCUGAAAACAAGCCCGUCUUUCGGUCUCGACUCGGCAGCAUGUGGCCAGCUGCAGACUGACAUGAGGAGAAGCGCUUUAAGGGGGGAUGUUUUCAGACCAGGCGCUCACCUGACCGAAGAUGUCGGGGAGCUGAGGAAAACAGAGAAAUGCCCUUUACUGACUGCUACCAAUAUUUAACCCGUCCUUGAAAAACGCCAUCUGUGCAAUGUCAAAUUCACACCCAAAAACAUCUCAGCACAACGCAUCGAAACCAGAUUGAAAGCAAAAACAAAAUCCAUUUUCCCAAUUCUUGGUCAAAGAAUCUGCUGUGGCCACUGAUGAUUUAAAGGGACAGAUCAGUCUCGGGUCAAAAUGUUACAGGAUGUAAACGUUUUAAAAAAAGAGGUUUUAUAAUGUGUAACUGUGCUAUUUGCUUGGUGUAACUUUCAAAAUAAACUUCAGUUGGCAUCUCAAAUCUUUGUGUUGAACCAUCUGAAGCACUUUUUUCAUCACUAUUUUUGCAUUUAAACUCCUCAUUUGAGCGCAUGAUCAGAGACACGAUCACCAUGAAUAAUCUUUUUUUUAAGAAAAUAAACUUUAAAAUACAUUACAUUUGGAACUAAGAGUAGGACAAAUAUGCGAAACAACAAAAAUAACAUUUUUAAAAGAUUUAAAUUAUGAUACCUUGUGGUGAAAUCUAAUUAAAUGCCUUUUUUCCCAGUGCACAACUUAGUUAAAAUUAAUCUUUUAAAUUAUACAUCUUACACGUGCGAGCAGAUCAAUGUGUAGGAGACUUUGAUACUGAAGUUAAUUUGUUUACAUUUUAUUAUUUAUUAUAUUGUGAUGCCAAUAGCUCCAAUUAAGUGCAAUGUACUGUCGUAUGCAUGUUUUGUUUUUGUUUUUUUUUUUACCUUUAAGAGGCACGUCCACUUGAAUGACAUCAUUAACCGGAUUCAGGUUGCUCUGCACAUGAGCAUCUGGACGCGAGCUGUGGCCAACAGCAGCUCCUUGAGAUUGUUGUCAUUUUGUAUUUGCCAGUCUUUGACUGUUUGUCCCGCCGCAUCACGGUGCCCAAAUUUCCCUCCCGGCCCCCACUUCACUCGAGCUGCAGCAUAUUUGAAGCUCGCUCAGAGCGGAAAUUUUGAGGCACAGGUACCGCUACUGUAGUGACUUGACACUGCACAGAUUUUCCUAAAAGAAGACUGAGCCCAAAACCAAAGAUAGUGGAACAGCAAAAAAAAAAAAAAAAAAAAAGGGGGCCAUAUACCGAGUGAGGGUUGUCAUGGUGUCGAUUGGGUUGCCGAUUGUCAUUCAGGUGCAACAAAACCCCCUUGAGGGUCUUUUUCUGAACACAGUACGGACACGCAUCAAACAGCUGGCGACGGUCGGCCGCCGUGGGCACAUCCCCACGCGCCCAAAAAAAAAAUAAUAAAAAUGUUUGCCCAGCCCAGACCGGCGUGGGCCUCAAUCACCAUUCUUGCGCGGUCAGCCAAUUACGUGUACG